UCCGAGUUGACCCCGGCAGUCUCCUGAGAGUGCCCGGCAUUACCCGGUAGCAACACAGGACAGGGGUUGCGCUCGUCGCGGGACUUAACCCAACAUCUCACGACACGAGCUGACGACAGCCAUGCACCACCUGUGAUGGUGUCCCGAAGGAAAGAUGUGUUUCCACACCGGUCACCAACAUGUCAAACCCAGGUAAGGUUCUUCGCGUUGCGUCGAAUUAAACCACAUGCUCCGCUGCUUGUGCGGGUCCCCGUCAAUUCCUUUGAGUUUUAGCCUUGCGGCCGUACUCCCCAGGCGGGGUGCUAAAUGCGUUAGCGUCGGCACCGCAGGGGUCAAUACCCGCGACACCUAGCACCCACCGUUUACGGCGUGGACUAC
RNAcentral lists this unclassified non-coding RNA (378 nucleotides) under uncultured Actinomycetes bacterium. RNAcentral describes it as "uncultured actinobacterium contains 16S-23S intergenic spacer region". The record is from RNAcentral. Lineage: Bacteria; Bacillati; Actinomycetota; Actinomycetes.